GAUGAACGCUGGCGGCGUGCUUAACACAUGCAAGUCGAACGGGAAACCUUUUAUUGAAGCUUCGGCAGAUUUAGCUGGUUUCUAGUGGCGGCCGGGUGAGUAACGCGUGGGUAACCUGCCUUAUACAGGGGGAUAACAGUCAGAAAUGGCUGCUAAUACCGCAUAAGCGCACAGAGCUGCAUGGCUCAGUGUGAAAAACUCCGGUGGUAUAAGAUCGACCCGCGUUGGAUUAGCUGGUUGGUGGGGUAACGGCCCACCAAGGCGACGAUCCAUAGCCGGCCUGAGAGGGUGAACGGCCACAGUGGGACUGAGACACGGCCCAGACUCCUACGGGAGGCAGCAGUGGGGAAUAUUGCACAAUGGGGGAAACCCUGAUGCAGCGACGCCGCGUGAAGGAAGAAGUAUCUCGGUAUGUAAACUUCUAUCAGCAGGGAAGAUAAUGACGGUACCUGACUAAGAAGCCCCGGCUAACUACGUG
This 478-nucleotide ribosomal RNA is filed under the name uncultured bacterium. RNAcentral describes it as "partial 16S ribosomal RNA". It matches the Rfam family "Bacterial small subunit ribosomal RNA", at positions 28 to 507 of the family's 1533-position model. The record is from RNAcentral.